UCCGAGUUGACCCCGGCAGUCUCCCAUGAGUCCCCACCAUUACGUGCUGGCAACAUGGAACGAGGGUUGCGCUCGUUGCGGGACUUAACCCAACAUCUCACGACACGAGCUGACGACAACCAUGCACCACCUGUACACCAGCCCAAAGGCUGCACCAUCUCUGGCACAUUCCGGUGUAUGUCAAGCCUUGGUAAGGUUCUUCGCGUUGCAUCGAAUUAAUCCGCAUGCUCCGCCGCUUGUGCGGGCCCCCGUCAAUUCCUUUGAGUUUUAGCCUUGCGGCCGUACUCCCCAGGCGGGGCGCUUAAUGCGUUAGCUGCGGCACAGAACUCGUGGAAUGAGCCCCACACCUAGCGCCCAACGUUUACGGCAUGGACUAC
This 377-nucleotide unclassified non-coding RNA is filed under the name uncultured Micrococcales bacterium. RNAcentral describes it as "contains 16S-23S intergenic spacer region". The record is from RNAcentral. Lineage: Bacteria; Bacillati; Actinomycetota; Actinomycetes; Micrococcales.